Long non-coding RNA from Oncorhynchus gorbuscha (pink salmon), 627 nucleotides. RefSeq lists it as uncharacterized. The record is from RefSeq and is a predicted model, not a curated record. The transcript has 4 exons. NCBI's taxonomy places the organism in Eukaryota, Metazoa, Chordata, Actinopteri, Salmoniformes, Salmonidae.
GUCUGAUAGGCAGACUGGCAGAGGCGGGAGGUAGUCUGAUAGGCAGACUGGCAGAGGCGGGAGGUAGUCUGAUAGGCAGACUGGCAGAGGCGGGAGGUAGUCUGAUAGGCAGACUGGCAGAGGCGGGAGGUAGUCUGAUAGGCAGACUGGCAGAGGCGGGAGGUAGUCUGAUAGGCAGACUGGCAGAGGCGGGAGGUAGUCUGAUAGGCAGACUGGCAGAGGCGGGAGGUAGUCUGAUAGGCAGACUGGCAGAGGCGGGAGGUAGUCUGAUAGGCAGACUGGCAGAGGCGGGAGGUAGUCUGAUAGGCAGACUGGCAGAGGCGGGAGGUAGUCUGAUAGGCAGACUGGCAGAGGCGGGAGGUAGUCUGAUAGGCAGACUGGCAGAGGCGGGAGGUAGUCUGAUAGGCAGACUGGCAGAGGCGGGAGGUAGUCUGAUAGGCAGACUGGCAGAGGCGGGAGGUAGUCUGAUAGGCAGACUGGCAGAGGCGGGAGGUAGUCUGAUAGGCAGACUGGCAGAGGCGGGAGGUAGUCUGAUAGGCAGACUGGCAGAGGCGGGAGGUAGUCUGAUAGGCAGACUGGCAGAGGCGGGAGGUAGUCUGAUAGGCAGACUGGCAGAGGCGGGAGGUA